Molecule: long non-coding RNA, 20485 nt
Filed under: Ananas comosus (pineapple)
Lineage: Eukaryota; Viridiplantae; Streptophyta; Magnoliopsida; Poales; Bromeliaceae
Description: long non-coding RNA (ACOM_LNC028342)
Source: RNAcentral
AAACAUGUAAAGCCCGAAACCAAUCUCAACCAACAUGCAAAUUUAUAUCCAAAACCAAUAAAAAUCCAUAUGAAUAAAUUUCUCAACCCAAAAAUCCAAAGCCCACAAACAAAAUCCCAAAAUCCAAAAUUCACAAACAAAGAUCCAAAAUCCCAAAAAUCCAAAGUCCACAAAUAAAGAUCCAAAACCCAAAGUUCACAAAUAAAGAUCCAAAAAACCCAAAGUCCACAAAUAAGAUCCAAAACCCAAAACUUAAAGAUCUAAGAAUCAAAGUCCAUAAAUAAAACCCAAUCAAAUCUACCAAACCUAUGUCAUCCAAAUACCUCCAACCCAAACCGAAUUAAUGGGCUUUCCAAAUGGGCCCUUUAUUAUGAAUUAAUUCUAUAAAUUAAUUUCCUGGGCUUUCCAAAGGCCCUCUAUCAUGAAUUAAUUCGACAAAUUAAUUUCAUGGGUUUGCCAAAUAGGCCCUUUAUCACGAAUUAAUUCUAUGAAUUAAUUUCAUGGGCCCCCCUUGUCAUACAUUAAUUUCAUGAAUUAAUGGGCCCUCCAAAUGGCUCCUUAUCAUAAAUUAAUUCAAUAGGCUCUCCAAAUGACCCCUAUCAUGAAUUAAUUUUAUCAAUUAAUUCAAUGGACUUUACAGACGGGCACCUAGCAUGAAUUAAUUUCAUGAAUCAGUUUCAUGAACAUCUCGAUUUCAAAUGACCGAAAAGUCACUAAACUAAACUCAAAUUCAAAUGACCGAAUCGUUAAACUAAAUCCAAAUUCAAACGACCGAAACGUCGUUAAACUAAACCCAAAUUCAAAUGACUGAAACGUCGUUAAACUAAACCCAACAACCGAAACGUCGUUAAACUAAACCCAAAUCCAAGCGACCGAAAAGUCGCUAAACUAAACCCAAAUUCAAACGACCGAAACGUCGUUAAACUAAAUCCAAAUUCUAACGACCGAAACGUCGUUAAACUAAACCCAAAUUCAAACGACCGAAACGUCGUUAAACUAAACCCAACGACCGAAACGUCGUUAAACUAAACCCAAAUCCAAACGGUUGAAACGUCGCUAAACUAAACCCAAAUUCAAACGACCGAAACGUCGUUAAACUAAACCCAAAUUCAAACGACCGAAACGUCGCUAAACUAAACCCAAAUNCCAAAUUCAAACGACCGAAACGUCGUUAAACUAAACCCAAAUUCAAACGACCGAAACGUCGCUAAACUAAACCCAAAUUCAAACGACCGAAACUUCGCUAAACUAAACCUGAAUUCAAACGACUGAAACAUCGUUAAACUAAACCCAAAUUCAAAUGACUGAAACGCCAUUAAACUUUCCUUGAUCAUGUAAUUUCGGGCGAUGGUAUCUCGGUGAACCUGAAGAAAGUUGAGGCAAUUAGAGAUUGGCCUCGCCCGACGAGCGUAUCGGAGGUUUGUAGUUUCCUUGGGCUAGCGGGUUAUUAUCGGCGGUUCGUGGAGGGGUUUGCUAAAAUAACUACUCCACUAACGUGCCUCGCACACAAAGGGGUGAAAUAUGUUUGAAGCCCUGAAUGCGAGCGGAGCUUCAAGGAGUUAAAAGAAAGAUUGACCACGACCCCGGUGCUUGCUCUACCGACGCCGGGGGAGACAUUUGUGGUAUAUAGUGAUGCUUCCUACGUUGGACUCGGGUGUGUCUUGAUGCAAAACGGGCGGGUUAUAGCUUAUGCUUCACGCCAAUUGAAGACUUACGAGAAGAACUACCCGAUUCACAAUCUUGAGCUAGCGGCGGUUAUUUUCACGCUAAAAUUAUGGAGGCAUUACUUAUACGGGAAACAUUGUGAGAUUUAUACGGAUCACAAAAGUCUUAAGUACUUAUUCAUCCAAAGGGAGCUAAAUAUGCGACAACGGCGGUGGUUAGAGUUGUUGAAAGAUUAUGACGUCACUAUACUUUACUACCCGGGAAAAGCCAAUGUCGUGGCCGAUGCACUUAGUAGAAAAUCGGGAGAAAAUUUGGCUUCAGCAAUCACACCCCAACUAUUAUUAUAAAAGGAGAUGCAACGGCUUGGUUUGGAAGUAGUAGCGCCGGGAGUGCCGGCUACACUUGCUACCUUAGUGGUGCAACCGACCUUGUUGGAGAGGAUAAAAGAAUUGCAAGCUUCCGAUGAGUAGCUCCAAAUAGUGCACGGUGAAGUUGAGAGGGGUAGUGCCAAUGAUUUUGGCAUUGGGACUGACGGCACACUUCGAUUUCGAAAUAGUUGGUGUGUACCUAAGAACAAGGAUCUCCGCAGGGCGAUUAUGCAAGAGGCGCAUCAAUUUUCUUAUAGCAUUCACCCCGGCGGCACCAAAAUGUACCAAGAUUUGAAGAUGCACUAUUGGUGGCCGAGCAUGAAGAAAGACAUUGGGGAAUUUGUUGCGCAAUGCCUUACUUGCCAACAAGUAAAAGCGGAGCGACGAUUUCCGGCGGGGAAAUCGCAAAGCCUACCUAUACUCGUUUGGAAAUGGAAAAAUAUCGCGAUGGACUUCGUGACCGGAUUGCCCCGAUCUCGAGGUGGACAUGAUGCAAUUUGGGUGAUAGUAGACCGGUUGACGAAGUCGGCGUAUUUCCUACCGAUUCAUAUUACUUGGUCGGGGGACAAGUUGGCCCAAGUAUAUAUCGAUGAAGUUGUGAGACUUCAUGGGAUACCGGCGUCAAUUGUAUCGGAUCGGGACCUGAGGUUCACAUCUCACUUUUGGAGGAGCCUACAGGAGGCCUUAGGCACACUGCUCGACUUUAGCACGGCGUUUCAUCCUCAAAAUGAUGGUCAAUCGGAGAGGACUAUACAAAUACUUGAGGAUAUGCUUCGAGCGUGUGUACUAGACUACAAGGGCGGUUGGCAUGAUCACUUACUGAUGGCGGAGUUCGCGUACAAUAAUAGUUAUCAAGAGAGUAUCGCGAUGGCGCUAUUCGAGGCCCUUUAUGGAAAGAAAUGUCGCUCUCCAAUUCAUUGGAGCGAUGUGGGCGAGAGAGCUACUCUUGGCCCAGAUGUGGUACGGGAAGCGGAGGAGAAGGUUCGCCUUGCCCGCCAAAGACUCACUACGGCGCAAUCUCGGCAAAAGAGCUACGCCGACAAACGGAGGAAGGAUAUAGAAUUUGCCGUUGGAGACCACGUGUUCCUUAAGGUGUUGCCGAUGCGAGGAAUUAGACGGUUUGGACUUCGGGGGAAGCUAAGUCCCCGCUACCUCGGACCGUUUGAGGUAUUAGAGCGGGUCGGCGCGGUAGCGUACAAAAUAGCAUUACCACCGAGGCUUGCGGGAGUACACGACGUGUUCCAUGUAUCGAAUCUCCACAAGUACAUCCAUGACCCUGAGCAUAUCCUCUCGUUUGAGCCGUCGGAGAUUCCAGAGGAUAUGACUUAUGAGGAGUUCCCGGCGUAUAUCAUCGAUCGAGAGGUGAGAAAACUACGGAAUCGCAAGAUUCCGUAUGUCAAGGUUCGUUGGAGCAACCACAAUGACCGAGAGGCUACGAGGGAGCUCGAAAGUGCAAUGCGGGAACAUUAUCCCCACCUCUUCGAGAAUCUGGAUUAAGGUAUGGAAUCUAGAUUUCAAUUAAGUAGUUUCGCGGACGAAACUAAUUUUAAGGGGUGGAGAAUGUAACGUAUCGAAACCUAGAUAGAAAAUGGCGAACUUUAGGCAAAUUGACUAAAGUGUGCGAAUGGAUUAAUUGGGCGAGUUCCAAUUAACCUACCAACAGUAUUGGAAGGGUUAAAAAUGAGUUCUAGAAAUGUUAGAAGGGUUUUGGCAUCGAUCGGUACAAAAUAAAAUCGAGACGGAGCCAAAAACCAGGUCUGGAGCAAAGUGUACCGGUACAGCAAGCGACCUGUCACCGGUUACACAUGCUGAAACCGGUGACACUUCAAAGUGUACUGGUACAUUUUGGGCGAAACUGAGAGAUCUGUUCUCGGGUUUGCCUCUGCGUAGUCGUGAAACCGGUGACACGUCAAAGUGUACCGGUACACUUUGGGCCUGAUAGCAAAAUAAGGUCUGCUGCAAAAUAUAAAGAUUUGGAGGGCUUUUUGGCAAAUGUUACAACAUGUUAAUAGCCCAAUACCCCUUCCCCUCACAGCCAACACCCAUUUCACUCUCUCCCUUAUUUUCCUCUCUUUCUCUCUCUAGAAAGCAAGCCCUAGAGCUUGGAGAAGGUGGAGGAGCUUGGAAAAGUGGAUUUUGGUAGCUUUGGUGGUCCUAGAAGCUCUCCAACAAGAAGGCUUUGGUGGAGCUUGGGCAAAGGUGAGUCCUUAUGCAAAAAUAAGUCUAGGGUUUGGGUUUAGACCUUAGAUUUUUGGGUUUUGAUCUCUCUACAAGUGAGGAAACUCUCUAGAGACCUUGAAACCAUGAAAUCCAUGGUUGUCUUGGACCCCUCUCAUGGUGGAGUGUUAGAAUCCAAGUUGGAUGCCCUAGGAAUGGUUCAAAUAGCUUAGUAACGAUAUUAGAGAGCUUCCUAGGUGAAUCUAAGCUAUCCUUUGCUUAGGUAUGAGAUCAAUCUAGGAGUUAUCACAUUAGGGCAUCGUUAGGGCACCAAAUUUGGGGCUUUUGCCUCUGAGUGUUUCUAAGACAAAUUGACCUUGUAGAAACCUAAUUGAGGGUAUUUUAAACGCGUUGGAACACUCGGUUUGACAAUCCGACGAGUGUACGAAAAGUUAUUGAUAGAAACGUCAAUUUUUGUACAGAUAGCCGCAGCACGCGGACUAGGGCUUCAAAAAUUCCAAAAAAUUCACCGUAGCAUCCCUACAACCGUCUAAGGUGGGUGGUGCAUUCCAAGGACCUCGAAAUUUCUUUUAUGUCUAAAGUGUCACAUUUGAGCAUAUGUAUGUAUAUUGUGCAUAUUGCAUAGUAGGGUAAUUGUAAGCUUCUAUUUGUAUGUUGUGAGUUUAAAUGCAUGUGAAAUAUUUGUAAGAAUGUGAAAAAUUUAUUUACCCUAUAUAUGCAUGAGAAAUGACAAGAACUUAGUAGCUUUAGAGAACAAAAGUGACAUGUCGACAUAAUUGUAGAAGAUGGCAUCUAUGAGUCGAAAUAUGUUAGAGUGGACACUUAGAAAACAAGUGUGGAAUCAAUGAUUGAGUAUAAGAACAAAGUAGUGUAUAUGACACUAGAAAAAGGUUAAAGAAUGCAAGUAAAUAGAGGUAGCAACAUUAUGACAUCUUUAGAGUUAAGGGUCAUAUGUGCACCGUUUCCUUCUAGUCAAGAAAUGGAUUGGACUUGACAUCCUUAUAGUUAAGGAUGGGAUCAUACUCACCUGUAAGUCCUUGCUCGAGGGUGGUAGCUCCCCCUCGGGCGAUGUGCUACGGAGUUGUCAUCACUGGGUCGUAGCGAGUAUCUCCCUAGAGGACGGUCCCGUCGGGUUGUAGCGGGUAUCUCCCCGAUAUUAGGGAUUUGGUUGGUGAGUCGUUGAGGGCGAAACCUACGGGUUAUCCAAGAGAUUGGAUAAUGAGAUUGUGACCUUGCAUUCAGCAUGAGCAUACUAUUGAACAUUACAUUUAUUGUUGUUCAGGCAUAUUAGCUGCAUUUGUAUAGUUUGGUUACUAUCUAUAUCUCUUUUCUUCUAUUAUGCCUGAUUUAGACCUAGUGGGAAAGUCGGCGUGGUUGGUUGCCGAACCCAGUGGGAACUUUAUUGUAGUUCUCACAACCCAUUUUCCAAAGAGCCCGGACCGAGCGAGCCGGCGGAUGAUCGCGGUAAGGGCAUCGCGCCCUAGUUAGAGACCGCCUGAUAUGGUUAUCAUUUUGUAGUCGCAUACCCCUUUACUAUCACCUUUUGUAUUUGAUGAUUUUAGUAUCAUGAACAUGUUUUAAUGAAUGAUGUAAAGAUAUUUAUUUUAAAUAUCAAAAGUUAUAUUUUGGGAGAAAUGAGAUGUAAAAAGAAAUGAUGCAAGAAUGUAAAAGAACUUGAUUAUAGUUGGAUGCAAGUAUGUGCUUGAAAUUUAGUCAUAUUACUUGUAUGUUGAAUUAUUAAUUCUUUCUCUUUGGCUAUUGCUUGCCCUCGUGCAAGCCAUUGUGUAUGCUUCCACUUAUGCAAAUUUUUACUCUAUUGAUACUUGUUGUUGAGCCUUGGGCGGACAGGGGAAGCUCUGUCGUUCGGCGUCUGUUUGACGCUCUCGAACCGGCCAAAAGGAUCGGGCUUGGGGCGUGACAAUAAAUGCUGAUAAAAGACCAAAAUAUAGUUAUGUUUAUGCGUGACUAAUGUUUGCUGUCUUAUAUAUGCAGAGCAAUGGCGUCGAACAACACCACGGUCAAUGCGACUCAAAUCCGCUUCCCGCUUCUAUGAUGAAAAUACAAACUGCCGGUGUCACUAUCCAGUUCGGCACCAUCACUGAGGACAUUCUGGCUACUGUCAUGCCCUAGCCAGCCACUCAAAUUGGUGAGGGCAGGACUUUGACGGAAUCCAAGGAUAAAGCUACUCUAGUUCCCAACAGCCGUGUGAUUUCUCGCCUUCCAUCACGUGGGAGGCGCCCAAAUAUCAUCAUCCCAAAUCCUCCGCGCAGGCCUGCCAAGGAGCGUUCCCUCUGCCGCAACAAGAAUAGUGAUGGAGGGUCGACUCAAAUUUUAUGAUGGCCACCUUGCAAGGACAUCUGUCUUUAAAAGAUUGGCCCCUGUCAAUUUUGAAACCAUUGAUCCGGAGGCAUCAAGAAAAUCAGUUUUUGAUAGACUGACGACCUCUACAAGCGAAGUUACCGAGAUGGCACUUCAUCCAAGAUCCAAAUCUUUUAAGAGAAAUACUCGACGUUCCUUAAAGAGAAGGCAAGAGAGAGAAGACAAGGGGAUAGAGGCAUUACCGUCGACUAAGGUUGUAGUCAAACCGGCAGCUCUUAUGCAUAACAAGUUCGGCCCACUAAGUUUGUCAAAAAGAAUUCACCCACUGCUGUCCUCCGUCCUGAAAAGGAAAUGGGUCACCUACGACCUAUCAAUGAGACAAGCUACCCACGGCUUGUCAACAAGGUCUCGCCAAAACACAAAGAGACAACUAUAUCUCAACGCAUCUAUGAAGACUUGAAAGAGGUUAAAAGGCGUCGCCGGUUGGACUAUAGGAAUUAGGCUCGUGAGAGAUGAGGUCUAAUUGACUUGUGAGCGAAAGUAUUUCGAUUGGGUUUGAUGACAACUCUAAAAAGUUAGAGUUUGAUCGAAGUGUAUGGCUUCUAACUUCUCGGAGGGUUACGUUGGCGGCCGACAACGUAACAUCGGGAGUUAGUAGUGGAGGACACAUCUUUACUUUCGCAUGAUUUGGGUUUUAUUUAUUUGAGUGGGGAUGUGGUAGCGUGGGUUACUAACUUGCGUUUUUAUGUUUUGUAGUGACGAUGCCGAUUACAUGCUCCCAGUCUGCCGGGGCGGAUGAUGCGGCACACCCCGAGGAGGCCGAGACCUCCGCUACUUCCGGAUCUAGUGAGGUCCGUGACUUGAGGGCCCAGCUUGCGGUUCUCACUGAUCUGUUGGCGCAGCAGACGGCAGCGGCGCAGCGACAGGCUGAGGUGGCUCAGCGGCAGGAGGCGCGGAUGAAGCAUCUUGAGGACCUCCUACUUCAGCAGGCGGCAGCUUCGAGGGAGACCCAGGUUCCCACACCGCCAGCACCCGUGGUGGACGUCGCAUCGAGGGCGCAGUCCCCCGCGCCCAGUUCUUCCCGUGCGGCACCGGCGACCACACCUCGGGAGGAGGUGGCUGCGGCACCCCCAGUUCAGAGACCGGCACGGGGGCAGCUUUCCCCGUGAGGGUCGAGGGAGCCGAGCGGGAUCGGCUCAUGGAUCGCCUCAGUGAGUUUAGGAGGUGCAGCCCGAGGACGUUUGAUGGCGAGAACGUCGACCACUGGAUUGUUGAGAAGUGGUUGAUGCACAUGGAGAAGCUAUUUCGAGACACCUUUGUGGAGGAGCGGGAUAGAGUUUGGCUCGCCACUUACUUUCUGGACGGCGAGGCCUAUCAUUUGUGGUUGGAUAUCCAGGACAACCCCAGCACCGACUUGACAGCGAUCACUUAGACGCGAUUCAAGGAGCUUCUUCUGGCGCACUACAUCUCGACCAGCGUCAAGAGGAAGAUGGAGCAAGAUUUGCGCAGCUUGCGCCAGGACGAGCGGACAGUGGCCGAGUACGAGAGGGAGUUCUCCCGGCUACUUCACUGUGUAUCGUUUGUUGUGAGGGAUGAUGAGGACAAGGCCCGCAUUUUUUAGCGCGGAAUACGACCUUCUAUCUUCCGGUUGGUGCAGUCUUCCAACCUCCAGACCUAUCGGGAGGUUGUGGAUCGAGCGUUGAUUGUAGAGGCUGGAGCGGCAGAUCUUCAGGAGCGUCGCGAGAGCUCGGAGAAAGGGAAGGGAAACAGACCCGCGGCCGAGGGUGCGAGUCAGACGCACUCACGGAGGCCGCCGAGGCACCCCAGGAGCCGGAGCCAGUCGCGAGGACGUGGCUCGUCUACUCAGCAAGGAGGACCCGGUGAGUGAUCUGUGGUGGUCCCCACUACUCGCGACAGUGUUCACGCAGCAGGGGCAGGUGUUUCUUGUGUGGCCAGGAGGGCCACUUCCAGUCGGACUGCCCGAGAGGUUCAGCGCCAGCGCCAUCUUCGGCAUCUGCACCAGCAUCACCAGAUCCCAGUCAGGGGACAUCUUCUGCGCAUCACCAGGCAGGACGGCCGCCAGUUCAGCGGCAGGCAGAGAGGUCACGACAGGCCCAGAGUGGGCGCAUGUAUGCGGCCCAGACUCAGGAGGCGGCGGCAGCUGAGAAUGUGGUCGCAGGUAUCAUUUUACUUUAUGGUAUUCGAGUUAGAGCUUUAUUUGAUACCAGUGCAUCGCAUUCAUUCAUAGACCGGCUGUUUGCCGAGUUGCAUGGCAUCUUUUUGACAUCUUUAUUGCAUCCGGGACUAGUUGUUGUACUCGACCAUUCUUUGGACAUUCGGGAGUUUUGCCCCAGUUGCCCUGUUCGGGUUGGAGAUUGGAUCAUGCCCGUGGACUUGCUAGCUUUGCAUAAACUCGGGGAGUUUGAUGUUGUGUUGGGCAUGGAUUGGUUGACCAAAUACUUUGCCACCAUUGAUUGCAAGAAUCGAACAGUGACGUUUAGAGAGCCGGGGCAGGCGGAGGUUGUGUACCGAGGAUACCAGAGUUCGCUGUUUGCGAUGACGAUUAGCUCUUCUCGAGCUCAGCAGUUGAUUAGUAGGGGCUGUGUGGCCUACUUGGCUACUGUUGUGUUGAGGGGUGAGGAUGACGCCCCUAGGAUUGAGGAUAUUCCCGUGGUGCGGCAAUUUGGAGAUGUGUUCCCAGCGGAGCUUCCAGGCAUGCCACCGGAUAGGGAGAUUGAGUUUGUUGUGGAUCUUGUUCCCGGGACCACUCCAAUCUCAAAGGCGCCCUAUAGGAUGGCACCAGCAGAAUUGAGAGAGCUGAAGGCACGGUUACAGGAACUUCUGGACAAGGGUUUUGUGCGACCGAGUGUGUCACCUUGGGGAGCUCCGGUCCUAUUUGUGAAGAAGAAAAAUGGAUCACUUCGCUUGUGCGUGGACUAUCGUGAACUUAAUAAAGUCACAAUCAAGAACAAGUAUCCAUUACCAAGGAUUGAUGAUCUAUUUGAUCAGCUUCAGGGAUCUUGUGUGUAUUCCAAGAUCGACUUGCAGUCGGGAUAUCACCAGUUGAGGAUUAGACCUGAGGAUGUAUCAUAGACGGCUUUUAGAACACGGUAUGGACAUUAUGAGUUUACCGUUAUGCCGUUUGGGCUUACUAAUGCCCCGGCAGCUUUUAUGGAUCUAAUGAACCGUGUUUUCAAGCCUUAUUUAGACAGGUUUGUCGUGGUGUUCAUCGACGACAUUUUGGUCUACUCCCGAAGUGAUGCGGAUCACAAGGAACACUUGAGACUUGUACUUCAAGUGCUUCGAAAAAAGGAGCUCUAUGCCAAGUUGAAAAAGUGUGAGUUUUGGCUUAGAGAGGUGGCGUUUUUAGGCCAUUUGAUUUCUGGAUCAGGGAUAGCUGUGGAUCCAAGGAAAAUUGAAGCUAUCAAGGAUUGGCCGAGGCCGACGAGCGUGACCGAGAUACGGAGCUUCAUUGGUUUGGCCGGCUACUACCGACGGUUUGUCGAGGGAUUUGCGAAGUUAUCUACUCCCCUCACGAGGCUCACGCAUAAAGGAACUAAGUUCAUUUGGAAUGACGCAUAUGAAAGGAGCUUCCAAGAGUUGAAGCAGAGAUUGACGACCGCCCCGAUCCUAACCUUGCCGACUGUUGGAGCAGGGUAUGUGAUUUAUAGUGAUGCUUCUUUUAACGGAUUGGGCUGUAUUUUGAUGCAGGACGGAAAAGUGAUCGCGUAUGCAUCUCGCCAAUUAAAGGAUUAUGAAAGGAAUUACCCCACUCACGACUUGGAGUUGGCGGCCGUGGUUUUUGCUUUAAAGCUAUGGCGCCAUUAUUUAUACGGCGAGCGGUGCGAAGUAUAUAAGAUCACAAGAGCAUAAAGUAUCUAUUCACUCAGAAGGAGUUGAACUUGAGGCAGCGCAGAUGGUUGGAGCUGCUCAAGAAUUAUGACUUGACUAUUCUUUACCACCCAGGCAAGGCUAACGUGGUGGCGGAUGCGCUAAGUCGAAAAUCGACGGAAAACUUAGCGAUACUUGUGGUUACUCAACCGCCGUUGAUCGAGCAGAUGAAGCGGUUGAAGUUGGAGAUGGUGGUUCUUGAUACACCUUUGAGGUUGAUGACUUUGGUGGUGCAACCUACACUUAUGGAAAGGCUUAAAGAAAAGCUAGCUUCCGAUGUGGAGUUGCAAAAGAUUCGAGCUAAGAUGAUUGAUUGUUGCACCGGUGAUUUCACUUUGGACGGUGAUGGAUUGAUGCGAUUCCGCGGACGGUUGUGUGUACCGGCGGACUUGGGCGUUAAAGAGGAUAUUCUUCAAGAAGCACACCGAGCGCCGUAUGCUAUACAUCCGGGAGGCACCAAGAUGUACAAGGACUUGAAGUUGCUUUAUUGGUGGCCCGGGAUGAAGAAGGAUGUUGGUGAGUUUGUUGCUAGAUGUUUAACUUGCCAACAGGUGAAAGCUGAGCACCGAGUUCCUGCGGGAAAGUUGCAGAGCCUACCGAUUCCAGUGUGGAAGUGGAAAAAGAUCACCAUUGAUUUCGUGAUGGGAUUGUCUCGCUCACAGGCAGGGCAUGAUGCUAUUUGGGUGAUCGUGGAUAGAUUGACGAAAUCAGCACAUUUCAUACCUAUCCACACUACUUGGACUGGUGAGAGACUCGCACAGGUUUAUUUGGAUGAGAUUGUGCGAUUGCACGGGGUACCUACUUCUAUAGUAUCAGAUCGAGACCCCCGAUUUGUUUCUUAUUUUUGGAGGAGUCUACAGGACGCUUUGGGUACGCGCUUGGAUUUCAGCACUGCUUUUCACCCCCAGAGUGAUGGGCAGUCGGAGCGUACUAUACAGACUCUCGAGGACAUGCUUCGAGCCUGCGUGAUUGACUUCUAGGGAGGAUGGUCGCAGCAUCUACUGAUGACAGAGUUUGCUUAUAAUAACAGUUAUCAAGCAAGCAUUAAAAUGGCACUGUUCGAGGCACUCUAUGGACGGAAGUGUAGAUUGCCACUUCAUUUGAGUGAAGUUGGCGAGAGAUUGGCUUUAGGUCCAGAUGUGCUCCAGGAAGCAAAAAAUAAGGUUCGCAUUGCUCGGGAGCGACUGUUGACAGCCCAGAGUAGGCAAAGGAGUUACGCUGACAGGCGUCGACGAGACUUGGAGUUUCAGAUUGGAGACCAUGUGUUCUUAAAAGUCUCGCCGACCAAAGGAAUUAGAAGAUUUGGAAUCCGGGGUAAGUUGAGACCCCGAUACAUCGGACCGUAUGAGGUUUUGGAGCGUGUGGGCCCAGUAGCGUAUAGACUUGCUCUACCGCCGAACCUAUCGGGUGUACACAACGUUUUCCAUGUAUCGGUCCUUCGGAAGUACAUCAACGAUCCGGCUCACGUGCUGGGCGCUACGCCUAUGGAACUGAGGGAUUAUUUGAGCUUCGAGGAGCAGCCGUUGAGGAUUUUGGCUCGCGAGGUAAAAAGAUUGCUGAACUGUGAGAUCCCCUACGUGAAGGUGCUUUGGAGCAACCACGACGAGCGCGAGGCCACUUGGGAAUUGGAGAGCGCGCUGCGAGAGUGCUAUCCCCAUCUUUUUCAGAUGGAUGCUUGAGGUACUUUGCUUUUGAGUUUCGCGGACGAAACUCCCUUUUUAGAAGGGGUGAAUGUAACACACUGAACCUUUGCAAAUUACGAGGUUCGAGUGGUUGGUUGUGUGCUCAGCAAUUUCAGACUUUCUGGUGGGUCGUUGACAGUGUUCCGACUUAUGGCUCGCAUCCCGAGAAGUGAGGUUUUAAGCCUAGCACAAAAAUCCGAAAAAAUGAAUUUUUGGAUAACUCUCGGAUUGCAUUUUCUGAGGCUGUGUACCGGCACAGGCUGAUGGCUGUAUCGGUACAAGGUUGAUGGUUGUACCGGUACAGCCACCGGGCUUGUACCGGUACAGAGCCGCGGAACCCAUCAGACCCGAGCCUCGAGUUUGUGAUUUUCGUGGGGCUUGUACCGGUACAAGGACUCGUGUACCGGUACAAGGAGGCUGAUUUCGUGCAGUUUGAACUGCAGGGGUGUUUUUGUAUUUGUGGCAUCUCUAUUUAUAUCACCCACGCCCCUAGAGCUCCCCUGAGCUUGGCACCAACAAGGAGAAGAGGUAAGGGAGCCUUCACACCCUCCCUCUCAAUUUCUUUGAUUUUGUUUGGGUUUUUUAUGAGAUUAAACCCCUUUUUUGCUCUUUUUCGGUUAUUGGAGGCAUUUCCACCAUUAGAGCUUGGGUUUGGAGCUUGUUGGAGGAGAGAUUCUUGGACCUUGGGGACUUUGAACCUUGUUGGAAGCUUCUAAGAGGUUGGUAGCUUGUUCUCUCCCUCUAGAUUUUGGUUUUGAUGCCUUAUAGUAAUUGGAACCCUAGAAUAAGGUUUUAGGGUUUAUUUUGGGCAUUUUGAUUUUAGGGCUUUUGGGGCUAAAUUAUUUGGAUUAGAGCACUCCUUUGGGUUGGAUUGGAUGGAUCUUAGCCUUCUUUUGGAGCUUGUGGGAGUUUUUCUCCACCUUAGGUGAGAUUUUAGCCCUUUUACCUUGUUCGUUAAUGUUUGAUCUUAUAGUUGAUCGUAAUGCCCGUGUAUCUUGUCGCUCAAUACUUUUAGGGUAUUUUGAGACUCAGGGACAACUUCGUUCGGCGAAACGAGGCAUUACGCGACGGUUCGGUGGGUUUGACCUAGCCACACAAUGAGAAAAUCUCAUUGUUGAUGAUUUAAGUGUUGUAAAAUGAAAAAGCAUGCAUAUUUUUGUUAUAUGUAUUUGUUGUGAAUUUUAGAAUACUUAAAAUGCCUAUGUUACAUAUAGUGCAAUUUUGGACUCCUAUAUAGUAGAGAGUUGCAUAUGAAGCUUAUGUUUGAUUGUUUAGCAUUCUUAUGUUGGGCUAUGUUCCUUAUAAUGAAAAUGAGCUUGAAUCAUGCAUUUAAACCUAAGUUUAUUUGUGACAUGAAAGAUAACUAAUAUGCCAUAAAGGGGCAUCAAACUCGAAUGUUGUGUGAAUUAGAGAGCUAAUGUCAUCAAGCGGCAUUGAGCUCGGGACAUGGGUGAACCUAGUGGAUAGGGCCAUUGAGGGAUUUGGUGUAUGCUCAACAUUGAAAUGUCGAAGUGUCAUCAAGGGGCACUAGACUUCAUGAACGUUGGAACUUCACUUGUGACUUAGAACUAGAUCUUCGAGAUGCUAGUGACUAUACCAUGUUAGUGACAUGAUGAUUGGAUACUUGAGACGUUGACUACGCUUGCUUGCCAUUUGUACUCAUUCGCACAUGCUUGAGAGGGUCGCUCCCUACAAGCCGGCACUCCGGAGUUAGCCUACGCGACCUAUGUUCGCUCGUGCGGUAUUGAGAAGCCUACGGGGUCGAGUGGGACAGACACAUUCCAAGAGUAGGGAUGUUGGGCUACCACAGGCACUUAGGCGGCACAAGCUGGACUACCUUUGGUAGGUCCUUAAUUGGAAAUGAAAAUCGACACGGUGUUGAGAAUGAAUGAUCACUACUAGAUAGACUUAGUAGUUGGAUUACUUUGACAGGCUCACGACAUAGCUUCGGGACAUUGGGUAUACUUGCUUGUUUUAUUUAUUGCGUUGUAGUAUACUUGGUUGCUUGAUAGAGCUCAUUCCCUAUGUAUUGACAUACUGCAUCGAGAUGCUUACUUGUCGGUUAUGAUUGGAACUUAAUAGUCAUGCUUUGGACAUACUUAUCAUGAUAGAGUAGAUGUUCUAUACUUUGACAUCAUGCUUACUUGAGACAUAGUAGUAUAGCAUUUAAUUUAUGCUUUCUUUCAGCAGUUCUUAUACUCGCUCUUUAUUGCUUAUUAUUAUUGCUCUUUUGACUUACCCUUUUCUUUUGGGGCCUAGUGGUGCAUUGAGCUGAGGUCAGUAAUUGCCCACUGGGAACUAUAAAUUAUAGUUCUCACGCCCUCUGUUUUAUGUUUUCUUUCAGAGCCUUCCAUGCCGGGGGAGACCAGGGAUCGCGGAAAGGGUAUCGCCUCGGGCUAGUGUUCUCCGCCGAGGGAUCGUUUGAUAGGUGGCCCACCUCUCUUUGUUUCUUUUGUGAGAGGUUGAGAGUUGUACCAGUGUACUAGAGACCACCCUUUUGUGUACCUAUUGGGACAGAUAUUGUAUUACCUUAUGGUUUACUUUUACUAUUUUUGUUAUGUUCCUUUACUCUCGUUAUAGAUGAUAGAACUUUACCCGCUCUGAUAUCAUUAGUUGUUCUUUACCCUUUUUGUUCUAUCUCUUGCUUUAUUUCCACUGUUGUUGUAGACGCCUUAUAUGUGUAGACAUAUGGCGGGUCUGGGCACGCUACCGUGAGAGCCUCCGCCGGUCCCGGGGCGUGACAGGAAAAGGUCUCCCAAGCUAUAAACGGGAAAGCUGAUGCCCUAGCUAGAUUGGCUAAAGAGUUAGCUGAUCCCGAUCUUGACGAAGUCCAUGUGACUAUCAAGAAUAGAAAGAUCUUGUCACCUAUGGACUUGAAUCUUGAAGAAGAAUCAAAAAGAAAUUUAGAAAGCGAAUGCGCUAAAAAUUGAUGUGGAAAACGAUUGGAGGGAGCAUUUCCUUAAUUAUUUCAAACACAACGAACUUCCUGAAGAAAAGCCAAAACAAGUUCAGUUGAAGAAGAGGACGAUGCGAUACGCUUUCGUGAAUGAUACCCUCUAUAGGAGGUCUUAUGAUCAGUUAUGGUUGAGAUGCAUAACACAAGAAGAAAUCAAACAAGUUAUGCAUGAAGUUCAUUCGGGUGUAUGCGGUGCCCACCAAUCUGGUCCCAAGAUGCGCCUCAAGAUUAAACACUUGGGCUACUAUUGGCCCACAAUGGUCCAAGAUUGUAUGGAUAUGCUAGGAAAUGCCACCAGUGUCAAGUCCAUAGCGAUUUUAUUCACCAACAUCCAAACCCUUUACACCCGACAAUUGCCUCUUGGCCGUUUGAUAUGUGGGGAACAGACGUCAUAGGACCAAUUAAUCCUCCCUCAUCCCGAGGGCACAAAUUUAUUCUUGCAGCAACAGACUACUUCUCUAGAUGGGCUGAGGCUAUUCCUUUGAGAGAAGUGAAAGCGGAUAAUGUCACAAAAUUUUUUAGAGAAAAUAUUUUGAACUGCUUCGGAGUUCCUCAUCGACUUAUCUCUGACAAUGGCUCAGCCUUCAAAAGUUUUAAGGUCAGCAAAUUCGCCUCCCACCAUAAAAUUGACUGGCGAUACUCGUCAAUCUAUAAUCCAAGAGCUAAUGGUUUGGCUGAAGCUUUCAACAAAACCCUGGUUAAACUUCUGAAGAAAAUUAUUGGUAAAAAUAAGAAGGAAUGGCACGACAAGAUUUCAGAUGCGCUCUAGGCUUACCGAACGACCUUUAAAACUCCUACUCAAGCCACGCCUUAUUCUUUGGUCUUCGGAACGGAAGCUGUCCUUCCUUUAGAAGUAGAGCUACCAUCGCUAAGGAUGGUGGUUCAACACGAAAUGACAGAUGAAGAAAAUAUCUUCUUGAGACUUGAUGAACUGGACUCCCUGGACGAGGUACGGUUGGCUGCGCAACAAAACCUAGAGCUUUAUCAGUCUCAAAUGUCAAGGGCUUACAAUAAACUAGCACGUGUCCGCACUUUUCAGGCAGGAGAUUUGGUACUAGUUCACCGACGAUCUAUAAUUAUAAACAAACGUGCCGGGGGCAAAUUCGAUCCAAAUUGGGAAGGUCCCUAUGUUAUAGAAAAAGCGUAUGAGGGAGGAGCCUACCAAUUAAUCGACGCAAAAGGAGAAAGACUGAUGCCACCGAUCAACGGACGAUUUUUAAAGAAAUACUAUCCGUAAAAAAAAAAAAAUAAAAAAAAAAAAUAAAUAAAUAAAUAAAUCCGGCUGUGAAUAAAUUUCACGGGCAAAAAUGGAAUCCCUACUGUGAGAAAACCUGCACUUGGCUCACAGGCAAAAGUUAGGGGAAAGGUUUCUAGCGAAAACUCUCACGGGAGCUAGUUUCCAAUAAACCUAAAAUCCACACAUUUUCCCGCCGACGAUAGAAUGCUAACUCACCCUUUGGGGUUGGUUAUGCGCAGCAAUCUCGAUAUACUGAGUUGCUUCCGGAGGCCAAAUAAACUCAACAAUAUUCUUUGUUUCCCCUACCGAUGAUGGAAUGUAGACUCACCCUUUGGAGUCGGUCAUGUGUAGCAAUCUCGAUGUACCAAGUUGCUUCCGGAGGCCAAACAAAUCCAAGAAAAUUCAUUUUUCCUUUUUAGCUGACGAUGGAACGCUAACUCAUCCCUUCGGGGUCGACUAUGCGCAGCAAUCUCAAUGUACAGAAUUGCUUCUGGAGGUCAAACAAACUCAACAAAAUUCUUUACUUUUUGCGCCAGUAAAAAAAUAUACUGAUUCAGCAUGCGAAGUUCAAUGUGCAAACAGAUAUCGACAAACUGACUUUCUUCCACACAAAAAAAAAGGGAAGAGAGAACAUAAAAAGAGUUUUCACCUUUUUCUGCUCACAAAAAACACUCACAGCAAAAGGUGGGGGGCACUUUGUUUGAGAUAAAAAAAAAAAAAAGUUCAAAAUUCAAAUUGAAAAUAUAGAAGGAGAGAUUUAAAGGAAAAAAAAAAGGAGGAAAGUAUUCAAAAAUAAAACAAAAGAGAUAUAAUUAGUUGAUUGAGGUUUGUUUCCUCAAUAAAUUAAUUUUUUAAAUUAUUUCCAAAUGGGAAUCAUCUUUGAAUCCUAUAUAAAAAAAGAAAGAAAGAAAGAAAGAAAAAAGCAAAAAAAAAAAAAGAAAGGAAGAAGAAGAAGAAAAAAAGGGUGAGAAAAAAAAAAAAGAGUUUUUAUACUCUCCUCUCUCUCUCUCCUCUCUCACUCUCUCUCUCUCGGCUGGAAGUGGGGGUGCCAUGUGCACCCCUCCUCUUCCGUACACAGCAACAAAAAAAAAAAAGAGAAAAAAAAAGGACUCUGGCUCUUGAAUUCGGCUACGACUUCGACAACGACAAUCACAACGACUUCUAUAACAAUAGGAGAUAUGCAUGCAUACGCAUAGCGUAAGUGCGUUUUUUUGUCAAUUUGAUCAACCCGACCAUCUUCGUGAUAGGUUUCAAAUCGAUCAAAUUUGACAUUAAAUCGUCGCUUCCGUCGCGCAUAUGCAUCGCUAAUCUCUAAACCGUGCGUUUUUUGUUGUCAAUUUGAUCAACCCGACCAUCUUCGUGAUAGGUUUCGAACCGAUCAAAUUUGACAUUAAAUUGUCGCUUCCGUCGUACGCAUCGCUAAUCUCUAAACCGUGCGGCCAUCUACGUGAUAGGCUCGACAUGGUCAAAAUGAUUGAUCGAACUGGAUAUUUUACUAUGUAAACCGUGCGGCCAUCUUCGCGAUAGGCUCGACAUGGUCAAAAUGGGUGAUCGAGCUCCGUUUAUUUCGAUACGUAAACCGUGCGGCCAUCUUCGCGAUAGGUUCGACAUGGUCAAAAGAAUUAAUCGAGCGGCCAUCUUCGUGAUAGGCUUGACACGAUUAAACUCUGCGUACUUGAACAAAAUGCGACAAAAAAAUAUAACAAUAAGAAUGAUAAUAAAAAAUGGACGGGUUUUGUUUUAAUUCAUCAUCUUCGUUCGAUUCGAUCGUAUUGCUCGACGUGAUAAAUUUCGUAUUAAAAACAAUGAGAUACGAAAUUUCAUAUAUUUGGACAAAUAAAAAAAAAAAAACAAAAAAAGAAGAAAAAGGAAAAAGAGUUGGACUUCUCUCUAUCUGGCAGUCAACACAAAAGAAAAAAAAAGAAGAAAGAAAGAAUACAAAAGAAAAGAAAAGAAAGAAAAGAAAGAAAAAAAAAAGAGGAGUUGUUGGGUACUACUCCUUUCUCUCCCUCAGUUUUUUGUACGCACACAAAGAAAGAGAGAAAGAGAGAGAGAGAGUUGGGUUUUCCCUCUCUCUCUCACACAGUCAGCAAAAAAAAAAGGAAAAAAAGAAAGAAAAUAAGAAAAAAAGAAAAGAAAAAAAAAAGGAGUUGGGUUUCCUUUCUCUCACAAUCAGCAAAAAAAAAAAAGAAAAGGGAGAGGUACCCCCUCUCUCUCUCUGUCUCAAUUUCGUACACACACAGACAAAGAGAGUGGGAGUUGGAUCUCUCUCUCUUUCUCUGACAGUCAACACAAAAAAAGAGAAAGAAAAGAAAAGAAAAGAAAAGAAAAGAACAAAUACAAAAAAAAAUAUUCCAUCUCUCCCAGUGGAAAGAAAAAAAAAAAAAAAAAAGGGAGAGAAAUUGGAUUUGAGUUAUUUAAUGGUUCAAUCCAUCAUGGGCCCAAUAAAUAAACUUUAUAAGCAGUAAAAAAAAAAAAGAGGCACCAAGCCCACUUGCAAAUUCGGGUUCACAACCUGUAGAGCCCGAAAUCCAGCCCAUAUGCAGAUUUGGAUUCAAAAUCAAUAAAAAAACCCACCCCACAUACAGAUUCAAGCCCAGAAUAUUAAAGCCCGAAACCCGUCUCAGCCCACAUGCAGAGUCGGCCCCAGAACAUAUAAAAUCCAAGAUCUAUCUCAGUCCACCUGUAGAUUUGGGUCCAAGGCCCAAAACAUAUAAAGUCGAAAACUAAUCCAAGUCCACAUGCAGAUUCGGGUCCCAGGCCCAAAACAUGUAAAGCCCGAAACCAAUCUCAACCCACAUGCAGAUUUAGAUCCAAAACCAAUAAAAAUCCAUAUGAAUAAAUUUCUCAACCCAAAAAUCCAAAGCCUACAAACAAAAUCCCAAAAUCCAAAAUCCACAAAGAUCCAAAACCCAAAAUCCACAAACAAAAUCCCAAAAACCCAAAGUCCACAAAUAAAGAUACAAAACCCAAAGUCCACAAACAAAGAUCCAAAACCCAAAGUUCACAAAUAAAGAUCCAAAAAACCCAAAGUCCACAAAUAAGAUCCAAAACCCAAAACCCAAAGAUCCAAGAUCCAAAGUCCAUAAAUAAAACCCAACCAAAUCUACCAAACCUAUGUCAUCCAAAUACCUCCAACCCAAACCGAAUUAAUGGGCUUUCCAAAUGGGCCCUUUAUUAUGAAUUAAUUCUAUGAAUUAAUUUUCUGGGCUUUCCAAAGGCCCCCUACCAUGAAUUAAUUCGACAAAUUAAUUUCAUGGGUUUGCCAAAUAGGUCCUUUAUCAUGGAUUAAUUCUAUGAAUUAAUUUCAUGGGCCCUUCUUGUCAUAGAUUAAUUUCAUGAAUUAUUGGGCCCUCCAAAUGGCCCCUUAUCAGAAAUUAAUUCAAUGGGCUCUCCAAAUGGCCCUUAUCAUGAAUUAAUUUCAUCAAUUAAUUCAAAGGACUUUACAGACGGGCUCCUAGCAUGAAUUAAUUUCAUGAAUCAGUUUCAUGAACAUCUCGAUUUCAAACGACCGAAACGUUGCUAAACUAAACCUAAAUUCAAACGACCGAAACAUCGUUAAACUAAACCCAAAUUCAAACGACCGAAACGUCGUUAAACUAAACCCAACGACCGAAACGUCGUUAAACUAAACCCAAAUCUAAACGACCAAAAAGUCACUAAACUAAACCCAAAUUCAAACGACCGAAACGUCGUUAAACUAAACCCAAAUUCUAACGACCGAAAUGUUGUUAAACUAAACCCAAAUUCAAAUGACUGAAACGUCGUUAAACUAAACCCAAUGACCGAAACGUCGUUAAACUAAACCCAAAUCUAAACGACCGAAACGUCGCUAAACUAAACCCGAAUUCAAACGACCGAAACGUCGCUAAACUAAACCCGAAUUCAAACAACCGAAACGUCGCUAAACUAAACCCGAAUUCAAACGACUGAAACGUCGCUAAACUAAACCCGAAUUCAAACGACCGAAACGUCGUUAAACUAAACCCAAAUUCAAACGACCGAAACGCCAUUAAACUAAACCCAAAUUCAAACGACCGAAAAGUCGUUAAACUAAACCCAAAAUUUCAAUUGACCACCAAGUCGCUAAAUUGAGUAUAUAAUCUUAUAAAAUUUAUGUACAGUGGGGGUAUGUCCCUGCUUAAGCCAUGUAUACGGCAAAUCAUUUUAAUAAAAUUUUAUUUGCCUG